Oncorhynchus tshawytscha (Chinook salmon) is the source of this 2521-nucleotide long non-coding RNA. The record is from Ensembl. Lineage: Eukaryota; Metazoa; Chordata; Actinopteri; Salmoniformes; Salmonidae.
UUUUCCGCCUUGUUUUGGGCAGAAGUUAUAAUGGUGGAGUAGAGACAGUCGUUUUAUGAUGCUGGGAAUAGAGGGGGAUUAUUUUAUGAGUUUCAUUGAAAUAAGACUAUAAAUUAAACGCAACCUCUAGACCCAAAUCAUGUUAUCUGUUCGCAGGGGCACCUACUAAUCAAGUGCUCGAUAUUAUUUCAUGGUGAUUUUUUUCUUUUUUCCUUCCCUCCUUUUGCUAGAAGCACUUCGCGCGUAAAGAACAUCACCGGUUCCCAAAUUCUCCGUGUUCUGCAGCUGCGAAUAGCGCUCCGUAAUUGGCGGAGAGCACAUCAAUCCUGCGUUUAGCCGCACCCCUCCCCCCAUUCAGCCAGUCUGGUGGCUGUUCCUGUGUGUUUACUACACGGACCAGGCAGCAGCAGACACUUGGCUUCACAUGCACCUAACUCACAACAGCUAGCUAGCUAAACACUUUAUAGUUCCAUCUGAAAGAGAAUCUCCAAGAAUCCAACAUGCCCAAGAGAAAGGGAGCCGCUGGGGACGCCAAGGAGGAGCCCCAGAGGAGAUCCGCCCGGUUAUCAGCGGUGAGACCAGCUACGAUACAGACAUUAUAUACUACCUUAUGACGCAUCAUAUAACCUACACACCAGUUUUGACACAUUUAUAACCUCUUAUUGCAGCUUAAAGCACAUUUAUAGACUAUAAUUAAGAGUACAACACAUCAAAUACCAAUAUACCACCUUAUAACACAUCAUACAACCACUAUAUGACAAAUAAAACACAACCUCAGCUACAAUCAGCAUACAAUCAUUACACAUGUAUUACUAUAUAUACACCAGGUAAUUACACACGUAUUGUCUCUAUAUAUACAGCAGGUAAUUACACACGUAUUGUCUCUAUAUAAACAGCGGGUAAUUACACACGUAUUGUCUCUAUAUAAACAGCAGAUAAUUACACACGUAUUGUCUCUAUAUAAACAGCAGGUAAUUACACAUGUAUUGUCUAUAUACAGCAGGUAAUUACACAUGUAUUGUCUCUAUAUAAACAGCAGGUAAUUACACAUGUAUUGUCUCUAUAUAUACAGUAGGUAAUUACACACGUAUUGUCUCUAUAUAAACAGCAGGUAAUUUCACAUGUAUUGUCUCUAUAUAUACAGCAGGUAAUUACACACGUAUUAGCAGGUAAAUACACAUGUAUUGUCUCUAUAUAUACAGUAGGUAAUUACACACGUAUUGUCUCUAUAUAAACAGCAGGUAAUUUCACAUGUAUUGUCUCUAUAUAUACAGUAGGUAAUUACACAUGUAUUGUCUCUAUAUAUACAGUAGGUAAUUACACAUGUAUUGUCUCUAUAUAUACAGCAGGUAAUUACACAUGUAUUGUCUCUAUAUAAACAGCAGGUAAUUACACACGUAUUGUCUCUAUAUAAACAGCAGGUAAUUUCACAUGUAUUGUCUCUGUAUACACAGCAGGUAAUUACACACGUAUUGUCUCUAUAUAAACAGCAGGUAAUUACACACGUAUUGUCUCUAUAUAAACAGCAGGUAAUUUCACAUGUAUUGUCUCUGUAUACACAGCAGGUAAUUACACACGUAUUGUCUCUAUAUAAACAGCAGGUAAUUACACAUGUAUUGUCUAUAUAUACAGCAGGUAAUUACACAUGUAUUGUCUCUGUAUACACAGCAGGUAAUUACACACUUAUUGUCUCUAUAUAAACAGCAGGUAAUUACACAUGUAUUGUCUAUAUAUACCGCAGGUAAUUACACAUGUAUUGUCUAUAUAUACAGCAGGUAAUUACACAUGUAUUGUCUCUAUAUAUACAGCAGGUAAUUACACAUGUAUUGUCUCUAUAUAUACAGCAGGUAAUUACACAUUGUCUCUAUAUAUACAGCAGGUAAUUACACAUGUAUUGUCUCUGUAUAUGCAGCAGGUAAUUACACAUUGUCUCUAUACAGCAAGUAAUUACACAUGUAUUGUCUCUAUAUAUACAGCAGGUAAUUACACACGUAUUGUCUCUAUAUAUAAAGCAGGUAAUUACACAUGUAUUGUCUCUAUAUAUACAGCAGGUAAUUACACAUUGUCUCUAUAUAUACAGCAGGUAAUUACACAUGUAUUGUCUCUAUAUAUACAGCAAGUAAUUACACAUGUAUUGUCUCUAUAUACAGCAGGUAAUUACACAUGUAUUGUCUCUGUAUAUGCAGCAGGUAAUUACACAUUGUCUCUAUAUAGCAAGUAAUUACACAUGUAUUGUCUCUAUAUAGCAGGUAAUUAAAGAUUAUAACACCUUUAUAACCUCUGCUACAAUACUACAGUAUUCCACAUACACCAUACACUACACUUAUCACUAUACACAGCCAAUUACACAUGUAUUACAUAUUUAGCAGGUUACAUAACUCUUAACCAGUUUAUAAAUCAUGCAACCAGUUAGUAAAGUCCCACUGAAGCCCUAGCAUCUAUUGGUCAGUAGAUCUGAAGCCCUAGCAUCUAUUGGUCAGUAGAUCUGAAGCCCUAGCAUCUAUUGGUCAGUAGAUCUGAA